This 11086-nucleotide long non-coding RNA is filed under the name Lupinus angustifolius (narrow-leaved blue lupine). RNAcentral's name for it is "long non-coding RNA (LANG_LNC000089)". The record is from RNAcentral. Lineage: Eukaryota; Viridiplantae; Streptophyta; Magnoliopsida; Fabales; Fabaceae.
UGGUGACUCCGUCGCAUCAUUCGUCCUAUGAUCUAGAGGAGAAGAUGGCAACAGAGGAAGAAGAGGCAACAUCUGAAGAGCAUGACUGUGUGGAGUUGAUCAACAUCGAGGACUCCAUUGAGGUUGUCAACCUCUCCUCCGACUCUGAGAUGGAGGAGGACCCAAGCGAGUGUUCCAACACACCCGCAGACGUUGGGGCUAGCCGCUAAGAACUAUUUCCAUUUCUAUUUUGCUUUUUGAUUUGAGUACCUGUGUAGGGUAUUUAUUUUCUGAUUAGUUUUAUUUGGGGCAACGAUUAGGAUUCCGCCUUGUAUUUCGUACCAAUAUUUGCUAAUAUUCUAAUGAAGUAUUAUUCGAAGUUAUAUUGAGUUAUUUUUUGUUACCAUUAGGUAAUGGUUUUUUAUUUUCUGCAUUGUAUGUUACUUAAAGUGAUGUUCCAAAAAUGAAACGAAUAUAAGAAAAUAAAUUUUAUAUGGCUUCCUCAUUAAAAAAAAUUUACCCAUUUUUGAGCAAGAUUUUUGAAGUAAUUUUUGGGGCGUUACAAUUGAUAUGGACAACUGGAGUUUUGAUAGGAAGAGACUUUUUCAGACUAGUCCCUGCUUGAGCUGAGGUUGGUUACUGUGUAUCAUCAUGUGCAGUUGCUUUAGCCCAUUUUGUCUCAGGUGAAAACAAGAACUCCAUAUUAUUAGGAUCCUCUCUAUCUUCAUGAACUACAUGAGUUUCAACCGUGAUUGCCUUCUGCCCAGUCAAACCAUAGUGCUCUUAAAAUCAAUCUUCAAUUGAUAAACCCUUAGAAAUGAAAUCAUGAAAUGCAUGCAGAAAAAAUGAUUUUUAGGGAUACUUGGUAUGUAUGAAGUGAACUUUUUUCUUUUUAUUUUUUUUAUCAUAUUAUAUCGACUGAAACAUAAUCUAUUACUCAAAAUGAUACAUGAAAUGCAAUUGAUGUAGACCUUGAGCUAUAUUUAGUGUGAACACUCAAUUUGAUCCGGUUUAGAUAUAUAACUACAAAACUCUCAAAAUAACAAAUAACAAAAACAGAAAUAACUUUUUGGAUAUGGAGAAAUAGUAGCAAAAAAACAUACUAUUUCAUGGUCUAAAUUGCUUUUAAAUUAUUUUUUUGCUUACAAUAUUUGAAAAAAAAACUAUGGACAAUCUCAAUCUUAUACAAAAGUAGUAUUUCGUUAAAAUCAUUUUUUUACCAAGAAAAGCAUUUUCAUUAUUAAUUUGUCCAACGAAAGCAUGCCAUUUAUCAACAAUUUUAGCAUUCCAUUAACUUUCUGAAAAUUGAUGACUACAACUACACAUGUGGGCUGAGGCUAUUGAUUCGGAUAUUUGGGAAUCCGUAAUCAGUGGCCCCUUUGUCCCACUACACUUAGUGGAUGACGAACCGAAAGAAAAGCCAAAAAGCUUAUGGACCGAUGAGGAGCGCAAGAAGGUCCAGUUCAACCUUCGUGCCAAAAGCAUCAUUACAUCGGCCUUAUCCUACGAUGAAUUCUUUCGGGUGUCUCAAUGUCAAAGUGCCAAGGAAAUGUGGGACACUUUACAAGUGACUCACGAAGGCACUAGCGAAGUCAAGCGCGCCCGGCUAAACGCGCUAACUCACGAAUGCGAAUUAUUUCGUAUUCUACCGAGUGAAUCAAUCCGCGAUAUGCAAAAAUGAUUCACUCACAUUUUUAACCAUCUUAUUACUUUAGAUAAGAUGUUCACCAAAUGAGAGCUCACUAAUAAAGUCUUACGUUGUCUUGAUAGGAGAUGGCAACCUAAAGUGACAGCAAUCAUGGAGUCCAAGGAUCUAGACUCCUUGCCUUUGGAAACACUCUUUGGAAAGCUUCAGAAGCAUGAGAUGGAGCUUGGACGUUUGACAAUGCAUGAGGAGUCCGAUCGCAAAAAGAAGGGAAUAUCUCUUAAAGCUUCAAUAUCACAACCCCUUGAAGAGAUAGAUAAUGACGACUCUGAUUCAGACAUUGACGAGGAAACACUAAACCUCCUUGUACAAAAAUUUGGAAAUUUCUUAAAGAAGAAAGGAGGACUCAGACGAUUCCAAAGUAAAGAAGCGCGUGAAUCAACAAAGAAAGGCAAGACAAACGAGCGCUUCACUUGCCAUGAAUGUGGUAAGCCAGGACACAUGAAGUAUUAGUGCCCCACUUACUUAAAAAGAGUUGAUUCAGAGAAGAGCACUCCACGGGACUUCAAGUCAAAGAAAGCAUACAUCGUAUGGGAUGUACUGGAGGAAGAAACAACAUCAAGCACCGCAGAUGAAGAGGAGACCGCAAAGUUGUCCUUAAUGGCGAUAUCAGAUGAUGCUUGCGGAUUAGGUAGCAAGGAUACUUCAGAUGAGGUAUACUCUGACACAUAAUCUUCUUCUUAUGAUUCUCCCUCAUGAAAUAUUAUAUAGUGCUUAUGUUGAGAUGCAUGAAGAACUUAAAAAAUUAGCAAAGUUGAAUAAGGAGAGAGAAAAAAUAAUUUUGCUAAACCAACAAAAAAUAAUUCAACUACAGAAAGAAUUAGAUGAAUUAAGAUUGGAAAGAGAAACAUUAGAUCUAAUUUUUUCCUAUGCUUCAUGCGAUUGCUCAAAUAAUAACUUAUGUCAAAAUAAUACUUGUGAGUCUUGCGAGGACUCGAAAAACGAAAAUUUUAAACUGAAUGAAAAACUCGCAAAAUUCACAAAUAGUAAAAACUAAUUAGACACUAUGCUUAGCAAAACAAGGAACAUUAGUGACCAUAUUGGAUUAGGGUAUGUUCCACCAUCCCAUAAAAAAAGACUAUAUAGGAGACCUCUAACACACCAAUAUAGAAAUUCAAAUAAGAAAAAUAGAGUUCCUACAUAUCAUUACUGUGGCACAUAUGGCCAUACAACUCAUUCCUGUUACAUAAGGAAAUAUGGGAUACCUAGUGGCGUUUACACUUGGGUAAGAAAGGGAGAUAAUUCCCUAGUCACUAACAAGAAAGGACCCAACAUAAUUUGGGUACCUGAGUCUAGCAGGUGAUCUAUAUUGCAGGUAUGUCUUCGAACAUACAGACAAAAUUGGUAUCUUGAUAGCGGUUGUUCGAGACAUAUGAUUGGGGACAAGUCAAAAUUCCUAGACUUGUCGUUGAAAGAAAAGGGAUUCGUCACCUAUGGAGACAACAACAAAGGAAGAAUCUUGGGCAUUGGGAAGAUUGCCAACUCAACCCACACAAUAAUCGAGAACGUUCUUUACGUAGAAGGUUUGGAACACAAUUUGUUGAGCAUAAGCCAAUUAUGCGACAAAAGUAACAUUGUGUCUUUUGAUUCUGACUGUUGUAUCAUUCGUGAUGUAUUAUCUAAUAACUUUAAGUUUGUCGGGUAUCGGGUAAAUAAUAUUUAUAUGGUUAAUCUAGAUGAUGUCACUACUCUUUUCUCAAAAUGUCUUAUUUCAAAAGAAGAUGACAUCUGGCUUUGGCAUAGACGCGUCGCUCACAUACAUGUGAAACAUUUAGAAAAAUUAUCGAAAAAUAAUUCAGUAAUCAGUCUUCCAAAACUCGUUUUUAAAACUCAAGAUUUCGGUGACAUGUGUCAGAAAUGUAAACAAGUCAGGAAUUCAUUUAAUAAAAAGAAUGUGAUAUCCACUACUAGACCAUUGGAGCUUCUCCAUAUGGACUUGUUUGGACCAUCACAAAUUAUGAGUUUUGGUGGGAGCUAUUACGCCUUAGUUAUUGUCUAGCCAAGCAAAUCCAAAACAUGGUAUUAUUUACAUUCGAUCCGACCAUCGAGGAGCGAUGCUUGUAAAUCUUUUAAAUGUCUAGCCAAGCAAAUCCAAAACCAGUCUAACCUAAAGAUUAUUUACAACGACCAUGGCGGAGAAUUUGAAAAUCAUAAAUUUAAUAAGUUCUAUAAUAAACAUGGUAUUAUGUAUCAGUUCUCAGCUCCUCGUACCCCUCAACAAAAUGGAGUUGUUGAGAGGAAAAAUAGAGUUCUAGAGGAACUCGCAAGGACUAUACUAAAUAAAAGCAAGGUCCCAAAGUAUUUCUGGGUUGAUCCAGUUCACACAACAUUACAUAGCAAGGCAUUCCGUGUGUUUAAUAAAUAUAUCAUGCAGUAUUUCUGGGUUGAUCCAGUUCACACAACAUUACAUAGCAAGGCAUUCCGUGUGUUUAAUAAAUAUACCAUGCAAGUAGAAGAGUCUAUUCAUGUCCAUUUUGACGAAUCUUCUCCAAAAGAGAAGAGAAACGUCUUUUCUGAUGAUGUUUCAGGUACACUUGAAGAAAUACCAUACCAGGACAUGGAAGAAAUCCAACAAGAAGUAGAGCAAACAGUAGCAGAGCAACAUCAGGAAAUGCCUAUCGCGUGGAAAACUAAAAAUGAUCAUCCACUCGAUAAGGUGCUAGGUCAUAUAUCUACGGGAGUGGUAACCCGUAGCUCUUUAUGAAACUUUUGUAAUUUUGUUGCAUUUGUGUCUCAAUUAGAGCCUAAGACCAUCGAUGAAGCCAUCGAGGAUGUACACUAGGGUAUAGCUAUACAAGAAGAGCUAAACCAGUUCGAGCGAAACAANNNNNNNNNNNNNNNNNNNNNNNNNNNNNNNNNNNNNNNNNNNNNNNNNNNNNNNNNNNNNNNNNNNNNNNNNNNNNNNNNNNNNNNNNNNNNNNNNNNNCUGUAGCCAGACUUGAGGCCAUUAGGAUGCUCUUGUCAUUUGCAUCAAUCAUGAACUUUAAACUUUUUCAAAUGGAGGUUAAAAGCGCUUUUUUAAAUGGAUAUAUUCAAGAGGAGGUGUACGUAGACCAACCACCAGGUUUUGAAAACUUCAAAUACCUGAACCAUAUAUAUAAACUCAAGAAGGCCCUCUAUGGCCUAAAACAGGCUCCUAGAGCCUGGUACGAUAGAUUGAGUUCGUUCCUUCUAGAAAAAAGGUUCGAUAAAGGUUUGGUCGACACCACUCUCUUCAUCCGUAGAUCCGAUAAUCAUGUUUUACUCGUACAAAUAUAUGUUGAUGAUAUUAUCUAUGGAUCUACUAAUGACAUCAUUUGUAAGGAGUUUUCUGAGUUGAUGUAGAGGGAGUUUCAAAUGUCGAUGAUGGGUGAGCUGACCUUCUUUCUUGGACUUCAAAUCAAACAAAUGGAAAGUGGCAUCUUCAUCCAUCAGUCGAAGUAUUGCAAGGAAUUAUUGAAGAAGUUCGAUAUGGAGCAGUGUAAGGACGAAUCUACACCUAUGGCAUUUGCAUGUUAUCUGGACAAAGAUGAAAAGGGAAAAACGAUUGAAGUAACUAAAUAUCGUUGGAUAAUCGGCUCCUUAUUGUAUUUAACUACUAGUCACCCCAAUAUUAUGUUUAGCGUUUGUAUGUAUGCUAGGUUUCAAGCUUUGCCAAAAGAAUCGAAUUAUAUUGCUGUAAAACGUAUCAUGAGAUAUCUAAAAGGAACUAUUCAUAUGGGAUUAUGGUAUCCUAGGGAUGCCUCCCUAUCAUUGGUAGGUUAUACCGAUUCCGACUUCGCUAGGUGUAACUUUGAUCAUAAAAGCACUAGUGAGACUUGUCACCUAUUAGACAGCUCCCUAGUUGCAUGGGACAACAAAAAGCAAGCGCGUGUUGCUUUGUCCACCGCUGAAGCGGAAUACAUUGUCGUUAGCAAGUGUUGCACUCAAAUCCUUAGGAUGAAGCAACAACUUAUGGAGUUUGGGCUCAUAUUAGAAAAGAUCCCUAUUAAAUGUGAUAACACGAGUGCCAUUAACCUCUCAAAAAAUCUCGUCUUGCAUUCUAGAACUAAGCAUAUUGAAAUAAGGCAUCAUUUCUUGCAUGAUCAUGUUCAAAAAGGUGAUUGUAUAUUAGAAUUUGUUUAAACAACUAAACAAUUGGCAGAUAUUUUCACCAAACCCCUCUCACGAGAUACUUUCUAUGUUCUUCGAAGAGAACUAGGAAUCCUUGAUGAAAAAUAUCUUGAUUAAUAAUUUUGUGAUUGCCUUGCAUGAUCCCUUUGACUGAUUUGAAAAUGAUGAUUGAAUGCUUAUGAUUCCUUGCAUAAUCCAUGAUUCUGUGCUUAAAAGCUUUAAAUAUAUGUGAUAGCUUAAAAUUAAAUUAUCCAAUUAAGUUUGAAAUUCAUGCAUGCUUUUAAAAAACAUCCAAAACGCUGAAACUAGUGCAUUUAAUCGAUUAAGUAAAUCAAUUAAUCGAUUAAGUAAAUCAAUUAAUCGAUUAAGUAAAUUAAUUAAUCGAUUACCUAGGCCAAAACUUUUAAAACUGGCAUUUUCAACUCAUGUUAAUCGAUUAAAAGAUGCUGUUAAUCGAUUAACGACAUCAAUAUAUCAGAAACAGAAGCGUUUCUGGACAUUUUUCAAAACCCCAGUCAUCCCUUUUUCUCUCAAAUCUCAGAGGAACAAGUCCAACAUCAUCCUAAGCUUCAUCCUAGCCCUAAACAGAACUACCUCACUGCAUUUCCACUCCAUAUACCGUCUUCCUCAUCUCCUAUUUCCAAGCAUUUCGUUUUCCCCAAAUUCAAAACCUUGCCCUAGGUUUCCCUCAACCUUCCUCUAAACAUCCAUCACGAUUCAGUGUUUGAUUGUUAUGGAUAGAAGACGUCGAAAGAGAAUCAAGACAACCGCACAACGUCCACCGCGUGUUCCAAAAAUCGUGCUCCUCCACAACCAAGGCAGAUCCGCGGGGACCCAUACUACUCAUUAAUUCAUAUCCCGGGUUAUUGACUAUCUACAUAUUGAUAUUUCGAAUACUAUAGUGAUGGAUUGCUCAGACAAGAAUCACUUGAUUGGUGAGAAUUUAAUUCACAAGAUGGACAUCUACAAGUAUGGCAAUACUUGGCAAUAUCAAGAGGACUUCAACAAUGCUAACCUUGAUCCUUCCGGUGAAGAUGAUGAAGACAUGAACCAAGAGCCAUUUGCUACAACUCAUGGGGAGCAUUCAGGACAUGCAUCACAGGAAUCCACUUUUGGACAAGCUUAUAUAGAUGCUAUGGAACAACGUCUCAAUAAUAUGAUGGACCUUCACUUUUAGUCUCUUAAGGAUUCAUAUCAUACGGAUUUGGAGCAUUUUGAAGAACGUCACAAUGCAUACAUUGACAACCAUUACCAAUCCUUGCAAAAUUAUAUUCAGUCUACUACUGAUUCUCAGAAUAGAAGAAUGGUUGUUGAGUUCAACAAGCUGAGUGUCUUCAUCAAGGGUGGUUGUAGCUCGUCAAUUCCUGACAACCAGAAUCCUCCAUCUUAUCCUUAGAUAGGAAACCUUAGAGUCUUAGUUUAGUCUUCCUAGCUAAUGGACCAUGUUGAUCCUUGUUUCCUCUUGAGAUCUUAUGUUUUGUAUUGCAUUGUUGUUUUUAUUUGGAUUGUAACAACUCUAUAUCUACUACUGAACUUCUGUUUUACAUUUUGUGGUAAAAUGAUUUCGAAUUAUUGCGUUUAUACUUGAUUGUUAAUUAUGUUGCAUAUAGCACUUUACUUUAUUUGAAAUGAAUCUUGAUCAUGAUUGGUAUGUGUGAUUAUAUUGAAUGAUUGUGCCUAUUGCAAACUGCUCAAAUAUAUCAAAUGCUUAAUUAUUUCGUGCUUGAUUUGCUUCUGCAUAACCUUUCAUGUCAUUCAAAUUGUUCUGUGGCUAUCUGCUGUCAAGUUAAUCGAUUAACGGUUUCACUUAAUCGAUUAAAUGAUGUAAAACUGUGAAUUUGUUCAAGCUUCUUUACAGUUGGUUAAUUAGUUACAUACCCAAGUUUAAUUGAUUAAUUACAGUAUGUCAUAACCAUAAUAACUCUCCUAACUUUUGACUAGAAUUGAAUAUGUUUAUCUUUUUUAUAAUGUCAAAAGGGGGAGAAAUGUUGUUUGUUGUGUUACAUACAUUUUGCAGGUUGUUGUAUAAAGUUUUUUGCAGGUUGUUCUAUCAAGCUUCCGUACAUAAUUUUGCUUACCUACAAGGAAGCAAUGCGCUUUAACUUUGUUCUUAGAAAAACAACCUUAGUCAACUAUUCUGCAAAAUCAUCAUCAAGCUUAUCCAUCAACAACUGAAGAAUUUUGAUGAAGUGUUUGUCAUCAUCAAAAAGAGAAAGAUUGAAAGUGCAAAGUGUCAAGGAUAGCACUAACAUGUCUUUGCCUAUGUUUUGAUGAAGAUAAGGUUCUAACAAAGCUUGAAGAUGACUCAACAAUCAACAUGUCUUAUGCUCAUUUGGUCAUAUCUAGACUAUGGUGUAAAUUGAGUCUAUAAUCUAAGUAGUAUGAGAUGUGUGUCGUAGUAAGUGAGUAUAGGUUAGGUGAACCUAGGUGCUAGUCUCUUAACCAAUCUUAAUUGUCAUAUCAUAUUCAUGAGACAUAUUAUCUAGUUCAUUAUAUGUUCGUGCAUAUAUCAUACAUGUUAUAUGUGCAUAUUAGGCAUAAUAUAAUUGGUAAAACAUGUNNNNNNNNNNNNNNNNNNNNNNNNNNNNNNNNNNNNNNNNNNNNNNNNNNNNNNNNNNNNNNNNNNNNNNNNNNNNNNNNNNNNNNNNNNNNNNNNNNNNUAUAACUGAAAUCUGUUUUAACUGUUUUGCAACGAAUGUAACCGCAUAUUCUCUAUGCUAAAUACAAGACAUUGUUCAGAAAACCAUAGCAUUGCAUUCUAUUGUAUAUGGUUGUUUAGAGAGCAUUUUGCAUACGUGUUUUACUGUGUUUUUUCAAGAGAGUUGCAUGUGUGAGAAGAGAGAUUAUGAUGGUUUAAUUGCUAUUAUAUGUUUAUUGUUUCUGCAUAAUUUUGUAUUCAUUCUUAUCUUGCUCACAUGCUCAUGCAUUAGAUUUUGUUAGAGAGAAAUUAUUUGUAUACUAAUAUUGAUUAACUCAUUUGAAUCUUGAUGGCUUAAGUGGUUAGUAAAAGGGUUAAGGAAUCUUGAUGGCUUAAGUGGUUAGUAAACGAGUUAAUCUUUGAGUCUUUAUCUUGUCAUAUUUUAAGAAUUAUUGUGCUUAGUAUACCUUGUUGUUUAACGAGUUUUUGCGUACUCUGGAUUUGUCUCUUGGUGUGAGAUCACCACAGAGAUUGAGGUUCUUCACCAAGGCUAGGAGGUCUUGAUUUGAGGAUAAGAAUCUUGGCUCAGGCUAGUUCGCGAGAAAUAUUUUCUCAGAGGCGAAGGGUAGAGUCAAACCAAAGAUUUAGAGGUCCUAGAUUUCAAGAAGGGAACAUCAUAUGUGCUUGUAAUUGAAUUGGUAUUUGUAUCCAUAUUUCAAUAUUGUAAAGAAAGAAAAUCCCCCUGAUCCAGAAGGGGAGACCUGGAUGUAGUUUGCAGUGGACCGCAAACGAACCAGGAUAAAAAUCCUUUGUGCAUUGUUCUUUCUCUCUUUAUCUUCUUUAUGUUUCUUGCCAUUAUAAAUUGAAUCUGUAUUAUAAAUGAAAUCUAUAAUUGAAAAGUUGGAUAUUUGUUUACUGUCAUAUACUUAAUAAUUGUGCGUAAAAAUAUAUGUAUUAUAUCUCUUCAAUUUUGUUUUUAAUUACUGUGCAAAUUUCAUGUCUGAUCAUUCUGUUCUGCGCAAUAGUUAAUCGAUUAAAUCUUGCCGUUAAUCGAUUAACUGGGUUGUUUCCAGCAGUUGGGUUUUAGUUCAAGAAGCGGUGAUUGAUAACCGCUACACCUAUUCAACCUCCCUUCUAGGUGUUCCUAGGCCACUAAUACCUAACACAACUAACUUUGGGAACCCUGCAAUUGAUAAUAGAUGCAAAAUAUUAGUGAUGGUUGUUAUGGAGAUUAAAGGCCUACAAUGAUUGAUCCAUCAUCCUUAAUUUAGAUGUUACAAUUAGAGCAAUAAUGAACCACCAAAAGCAAUCAGGAAUCGCUAGAAAGGCAAGCAUCUAAACAUCAGAGCACUUAUGGGAUUAAUCUAAUGAGAACGAGCCGUUGAUCAUAAAAAGGGAUAUCAACAGAUGCAAAUCAGAUUUGGUAUUGUAUCAGAUACUAUAUGGCAGCUUCAAUGCAUUGAAUCAGGAAAUCAGCAGGUCAUGGCAUGUUACAUAUUGUUGGUAAGUCAGAAAGUUUUCACAAACCAGCUAUAAAAACCCAUUCCGAGCACAGUGAAAAAGGGAUUACACAUACAUAACGAUAAGAAAAAUCAAAGAGCAAAAGAAAGAGAUUUUCAUCGCAGAAAAAGCAUAUAAGAGGUAGAGGUAUUCUGAAAAGGCAGGAAGUACCACUUUGCAUACAGGGUAAAAGGGAGCAUUGGGCCAAUCAACUAAAAAGGGAAGGCUAAAAAGGAUAAAGGGAGAGACUUUUGUACAAUACUCCUACUACACCCAUCCCAGUGUCAACGGUCCUAACAUGUAUUGUAGUGUCUGGUUCCUCUGAUUUUAAGACCUAAUCUUAUAAACUGAAUGGUUUCUAAUUAUGAACAGUAAGAGUAGUUACAAUAUACAAAAGCUUGUUUAACUUUAAUCCCUUGAUGUAAAGGUGUGGAACCUCCUUGUAUGUGAUGUUUAUUACCGCUAAUAGGGGUUUGAAUUUAUCUUCAUCAUUAUGCCAUUAAUAAACACGUUAGGAUAAGUUGAGAAAUUUCUCAACAAGGUUCCAUAAAAAAAACUCUUUAAGUAAGUCACGUCAUACCUUUCUUUUACCACACAAUGAUCAAAUAAAAUCCACACAGUUUUUAUCCAUAUUCGGAAGCUUGAUAAUUAAUUAGCCUCAAGAGUAAGACUCUUACCCUACAGCGGUGGAUUGAGCCACCGUUGAGCCUCCUUGGCUGUCCCGGUGUGACCAUACAUCACCACGCCAAUGGCCAGGACCUCCGUCGAGUUGGUAUCACAAUGAGAAGAUGAAGAAGGCGACCAUAUUUUUCUCUCCAACCAGUUUUGAAUGCACGGAAGCUAGAACUUCCCCUUCGGCGUUAUCUUCCAUCACCCAACUGAACCACCAUAACGACCAUGAUUCCGCUUUCACCAAAUCAAACGACCAUAAACCACCGAGAGUGGGAACCGAACCACCAUAAGCCACCUAGAACGGCACAAUCUCAGCCAUCGCGAGCUACCGCAACUCGUCACAAACCGUCACCAUCGCCGUCGAAGGAGUGAAGAAGAAGGGAGGCUAGGGAUUGAAAUCCCCUUUCUAAUUUGAGGGUCAAAAACCCGUAUGGGGUUACCCUCUCUUACUUCUUUAUUUCACUUACCCUUUAUUCAUUUACUUACACUUUUGUUUUUUU